GCUCGCACGCCGAGGACACACCCGGAGCCAGCCUCCCGCCCUCCGUCAGGGCUGGAAACAGGCAUCGCCAGGCCUGGGAGAGUCGAUUGCGUGUUUCCCCUGAGGCUGUGUGAUUCUUCUGUCUCGCUUGGCCACACCACCCUGCAGGCCGCCCGUCUCAGCUGGAACAAAAGUUACAAUUUCCCAAACACUCUGAACCCCUCUCCUAAAUGGCCUGAGUGCACGGGAAAAGAAACUAAUCAUCAUCAUCAUCAUCAAGCCUGGUUGUGAAAGCUGUUUGUAAAUCCCUACCCCCCCCC
Long non-coding RNA from Lynx canadensis (Canada lynx), 299 nucleotides. RefSeq lists it as uncharacterized. The transcript has 2 exons. The record is from RefSeq and is a predicted model, not a curated record. NCBI's taxonomy places the organism in Eukaryota, Metazoa, Chordata, Mammalia, Carnivora, Felidae.